Molecule: non-coding RNA, 119 nt
Filed under: Tissierella creatinophila
Lineage: Bacteria; Bacillati; Bacillota; Tissierellia; Tissierellales; Tissierellaceae
Also listed under: 1 other name
Description: FMN sequence
Rfam family: FMN riboswitch aptamer (RFN element)
About the family: The RFN element is a highly conserved domain that is found frequently in the 5'-untranslated regions of prokaryotic mRNAs that encode for flavin mononucleotide (FMN) biosynthesis and transport proteins. This element is a metabolite-dependent riboswitch that directly binds FMN in the absence of proteins.
Source: RNAcentral
AUAUAUCUUCAGGGCGAGGCGUAAAUCCUCACCGGCGGUAAAGCCCGCGAGCCUAUUUAUAGGUUGACUUGGUUAAAUUCCAAGGCCGACAGUUAUAGUCUGGAUAAGAGAAGAUGUAU